UCCAGAGGGUGCGAGCGUUAAUCGGAAUUACUGGGCGUAAAGCGUGCGUAGACGGCUAUCUAAGUCGGGUGUGAAAGCCCCGGGCUCAACCUGGGAAUUGCAUUCGAGACUGAAUAGCUAGGGUACGGUAGAGGGAAGUGGAAUUUCCGGUGUAGCGGUGAAAUGCGUAGAUAUCGGAAGGAACAUCAGUGGCGAAAGCGACUUCCUGGACCAGUACCGACGUUCAGGCACGAAAGCGUGGGGAGCAAACAGG
Molecule: ribosomal RNA, 253 nt
Filed under: uncultured bacterium
Lineage: Bacteria
Description: partial 16S ribosomal RNA
Rfam family: Bacterial small subunit ribosomal RNA
Source: RNAcentral